GGCAUUUGAGUAGUGCCUCUGAUUAGCUUUUUGAACUAGUGAUUGGUUAUCUGGUUUGACCAAACAAUUACUGUUAUUUUGGCUAUUACCACUGUAUGUAUGAUUUUUCUGUGUCCCUUUGGAGCAGUUUACAGGCUUCACGGCAUCUGAGUAGUGUCUCCGAUUAGCUUUUUGAACUAGUGAUUGGUUAUCUGGUUUGGCCAAAUAAUUACUGUUAUUUUGGAAUACAGCUGCAGAGGCUUUCCUGCUAAUUAGCGUUCUGUUAUAAGCUGUGGAGUCUUGUGGAGAGUUAGUAUGCUUUUAGGCUUUUACCUGCCUGGAAGAACUUUAUUGAGUGUUACUAUGUUCUGAGCCAGCAUAUUAUUGUUAAUAUAGCAAUGGAGACUGAUGAAAUGUGCACCUGAAGAAGAGUUUAGCGAAACAGCUAUUUAUCCUGGGGCAGCUGUUGGUGUGCCUUUUCCAGUCUCGUGCCCGUUCCGGUCUCUUCAGUCAGCAUUCAGCAGACUACACAGCAUGUACUGUUUUCCUGUUAUCAACUUUUGAAACCUUGAGUACAAGUGAUUACAUCCCUAUCAUCGCUCCCAACUAUCAGACUUCAAGAGCUGUUAUUGUAGAUGUGAGCGAAUUUGGAGCCACAUAUUGAUGCCAACUUCUGGCUGUUAGGUUUUUUGCUUCCACCAGACUCAGGGCUCCUAUUGGGAGUUUACUAUCUAUGUGCAUUGUAUUCAUUCAUUCAUACAUGCUGUUUGUAGAUGUCUACCUGGCUGGUUUUGUGUAUAGCAUAUUUCAGUCAUACACUUUUUGCAUAUAUACUGGUUUGGGGUAUAUUCUAUAUCAUGUUUAGUAUGUUUAUUGAUUAAAUCUUAUUUCCAUCUUAUUUCUA
Hemicordylus capensis (graceful crag lizard) is the source of this 883-nucleotide long non-coding RNA. RefSeq lists it as uncharacterized. NCBI's taxonomy places the organism in Eukaryota, Metazoa, Chordata, Lepidosauria, Squamata, Cordylidae. The record is from RefSeq and is a predicted model, not a curated record. The transcript has 2 exons.